CCUACGGGAGGCUGCAGUGAGGAAUAUUGGUCAAUGGGCUUACGCCUGAACCAGCCAAGUCGCGUGAGGGAAGACUGCCCUAUGGGUUGUAAACCUCUUUUGUCAGGGAGCAACGCCGGCUACGUGUAGCCGGACUGAGAGUCCCUGAAGAAAAAGCACCGGCUAACUCCGUGCCAGCAGCCGCGGUAAUACGGAGGAUGCGAGCGUUAUCCGGAUUUAUUGGGUUUAAGGGGUGCGUAGGCGGAAUGCCAAGUCAGCGGGAAAAUCGCGGGGCUAAACCUCGCUCUGCCGUUGAAACUGGCGUUCUUGAGUGGGCGAGAAGUAUGCGGAAUGCGUGGUGUAGCGGUGAAAUGCAUAGAUAUCACGCAGAACUCCGAUUGCGAAGGCAGCAUACCGGCGCCCAACUGACGCUGAAGCACGAAAGCGUGGGUAUCGAACAGGAUUAGAUACCCUUGUAGUC
Molecule: ribosomal RNA, 460 nt
Filed under: uncultured bacterium
Lineage: Bacteria
Description: partial 16S ribosomal RNA
Rfam family: Bacterial small subunit ribosomal RNA
Source: RNAcentral